Molecule: long non-coding RNA, 1386 nt
Filed under: Gallus gallus (chicken)
Lineage: Eukaryota; Metazoa; Chordata; Aves; Galliformes; Phasianidae
Description: lncRNA (ENSGALG00015005093.1)
Source: RNAcentral
CACAUUAGUUACAGGGUUUUGUUGCUAAGAGACCUUCAGCUUUCUAAGUCUUACUAGUUUCUUAAACUAGAUAUUUCUGUUGUUGAUUGUUUAUUCUCAGCAAAACACUACUGAAAUGAGAUCUGGUAUAACUUUUUCUCCAAACUUGUCCAAAGCGUGCAUGCUGUUUAUAAUGGCACUGUCUUAGAUAAUGCUGUCCUAGCCCUAUUAACUUGGCAAGUCACUUUUCUGGAGGCUCCUUUAUGUUUUGUAUUUUCCCUGUUUUUCUUCAUAAGGCUUUUGUUUUGUAUUUGUUUUACAGUAUUGACAUUAGUCAUGGUUUCAUUAACAGACAUGUUUAAAAACUGAAUCUGGGAAGUUCAACAGUUCAUCAGAAAUGGCAGGUAGCAUCCAUAAGAAGAGGGUAGAAUAUACCUGAGAGAAAAAGAUUGCUGACUUGUUCUCUACACUGAGCAAUCAAUGUGGCAUAUACAACACGCUCAGUGCCACAAUUUAAAUCUGCUAACUAGUUUCAUUGUUUAGACAAUCACUAAGUGAGAUAGAAGUCAACAACGAGGUCACAGAAGGAACAAUCAAACAUCUAAUGCAUCCACCUCAGCUGGGCACAGAUGAUGAAUUUCACCUGAAAGAUCAGAUGGUUGGAGACAGCAGAGAGCUGGGCUGCCAGCUCUCAGUGCAAGAGACAGCAGAAGAAAACAGGUGAACUAUGGGAAUAUUUACAGAAUUGCUCCCUGGACCGGAAAAGAAACUACACCUAGAGCUUCUCCAGACAACCUGCCAGAAAAAGAAAUAGAGAUAAAUAUGGUGAAGAAAAUUGAAAUGACAACAUACAAACAAAACUAACUUCAUUAUGUGGCACUGGCACCCACCAAAUGUUGACCUGGAUUCCACUGUGCUCAGCACUGCCAGCUGGGGAGCAAUCAGAUAGACUCCAUCCAAGUGAGGGCUGGAGAGAUGACAAGACUAAACAGUUUCAUGUGGUAAAUUACGCUGGUAAGCAACUUACACAAAAGUUCCACUGCUUGUUAGGUUGUAAAGCAAGAAAAUGGCCACGUGAAGUAACUAAAGGGAGGACUGAGAUGGUGAAUUUCUAUGCAGCAGUUGUCUUGCUGAAGUGUGGAAUGAAACAAAAACAAACAAACAAAGUAUGUGAAAAAGGCAUAUAUAUUUUUUCUGCUUCCAUGAUAUUGCUGAUCAUUUGUCCCUAUAAAGAAAUUUUCCUUUUUUCCAGUGGAAUGUAGGAAAAAAAUCAAAAGAUGGAGUUUUAAAAGCUAAAAUUACAGCUAGAUAAUUUUUAAUGGUACCUUUUCUGUCUUUGUUUACAUUCUUUAAGAUUGUUCAGCUCUUUGCAUUCAAUUUUAAUUGGAGAGAAAUUAGAGUAAAUCC